This 500-nucleotide ribosomal RNA is filed under the name uncultured bacterium. RNAcentral describes it as "partial 16S ribosomal RNA". It matches the Rfam family "Bacterial small subunit ribosomal RNA", at positions 30 to 523 of the family's 1533-position model. The record is from RNAcentral.
AUUGAACGCUGGCGGAAUGCUUUACACAUGCAAGUCGAACGGCAGCACGGGGGUAACCCUGGUGGCGAGUGGCGAACGGGUGAGUAAUACAUCGGAACGUGCCCAAUCGUGGGGGAUAACGUAGCGAAAGCUACGCUAAUACCGCAUACGAUCUACGGAUGAAAGCGGGGGAUCGCAAGACCUCGCGCGAAUGGAGCGGCCGAUGGCAGAUUAGGUAGUUGGUGGGGUAAAGGCUCACCCAGCCAACGAUCUGUAGCUGGUCUGAGAGGACGACCAGCCACACUGGGACUGGGACACGGCCCAGACUCCUACGGGAGGCAGCAGUGGGGAAUUUUGGACAAUGGGCGCAAGCCUGAUCCAGCCAGUCCGCGUGCAGGAUGAAGGCCUUCGGGUUGUAAACUGCUUUUGUACGGAACGAAACUGCCCUUUCUGAUACAGAGGGCUAAUGACGGUACCGUAAGAAUAAGCACCGGCUAACUACGUGCCAGCAGCCGCAGUAA